AUUGAACGCUGGCGGCAGGCCUAACACAUGCAAGUCGAGCGGUAGAGAGAAGCUUGCUUCUCUUGAGAGCGGCGGACGGGUGAGUAAUACCUAGGAAUCUGCCUGAUAGUGGGGGAUAACGUUCGGAAACGGACGCUAAUACCGCAUACGUCCUACGAGAGAAAGCAGGGGACCUUCGGGCCUUGCGCUAUCAGAUGAGCCUAGGUCGGAUUAGCUAGUUGGUGAGGUAAUGGCUCACCAAGGCUACGAUCCGUAACUGGUCUGAGAGGAUGAUCAGUCACACUGGAACUGAGACACGGUCCAGACUCCUACGGGAGGCAGCAGUGGGGAAUAUUGGACAAUGGGCGAAAGCCUGAUCCAGCCAUGCCGCGUGUGUGAAGAAGGUCUUCGGAUUGUAAAGCACUUUAAGUUGGGAGGAAGGGCAUUAACCUAAUACGUUGGUGUCUUGACGUUACCGACAGAAUAAGCACCGGCUAACUCUGUGCCAGCAGCC
RNAcentral lists this ribosomal RNA (493 nucleotides) under uncultured bacterium. RNAcentral describes it as "bacterial SSU rRNA". It matches the Rfam family "Bacterial small subunit ribosomal RNA", at positions 30 to 516 of the family's 1533-position model. The record is from RNAcentral.